Molecule: microRNA, 22 nt
Filed under: Eisenia fetida (common brandling worm)
Lineage: Eukaryota; Metazoa; Annelida; Clitellata; Crassiclitellata; Lumbricidae
Description: Efe-Mir-1999-P1_5p* (star (passenger))
Source: RNAcentral
AGACUCCAACCCCGGUUACACA